This 425-nucleotide ribosomal RNA is filed under the name uncultured bacterium. Its description in RNAcentral is "bacterial SSU rRNA". It matches the Rfam family "Bacterial small subunit ribosomal RNA", at positions 358 to 774 of the family's 1533-position model. The record is from RNAcentral.
GGAAUCUUCGGCAAUGGACGAAAGUCUGACCGAGCAACGCCGCGUGAGUGAAGAAGGUUUUCGGAUCGUAAAACUCUGUUGGUAGAGAAGAACGUUGGUGAGAGUGGAAAGCUCAUCAAGUGACGGUAACUACCCAGAAAGGGACCGCUAACUACGUGCCAGCAGCCGCGGUAAUACGUAGGUCCCGAGCGUUGUCCGGAUUUAUUGGGCGUAAAGCGAGCGCAGACGGUUGAUUAAGUCUGAUGUGAAAGCCCGGAGCUCAACUCCGGAAUGGCAUUGGAAACUGGUUAACUUGAGUGCAGUAGAGGUAAGUGGAACUCCAUGUGUAGCGGUGGAAUGCGUAGAUAUAUGGAAGAACACCAGUGGCGAAGGCGGCUUACUGGACUGUAACUGACGUUGAGGCUCGAAAGUGCGGGUAGCAAACA